GACGAACGCUGGCGGCGUGCCUAAUACAUGCAAGUUGAGCGCUGAAGGUUGGUACUUGUACCAACUGGAUGAGCAGCGAACGGGUGAGUAACGCGUGGGGAAUCUGCCUUUGAGCGGGGGACAACAUUUGGAAACGAAUGCUAAUACCGCAUAAAAACUUUAAACACAAGUUUUAAGUUUGAAAUAUGCAAUUGCAUCACUCAAAGAUGAUCCCGCGUUGUAUUAGCUAGUUGGUGAGGUAAAGGCUCACCAAGGCGAUGAUACAUAGCCGACCUGAGAGGGUGAUCGGCCACAUUGGGACUGAGACACGGCCCAGACUCCUACGGGAGGCAGCAGUAGGGAAUCUUCGGCAAUGGACGAAAGUCUGACCGAGCAACGCCGCGUGAGUGAAGAAGGUUUUCGGAUCGUAAAACUCUGUUGGUAGAGAAGAACGUUGGUGAGAGUGGAAAGCUCAUCAAGUGACGGUAACUACCCAGAAAGGGACGGCUAACUACGUG
This 497-nucleotide ribosomal RNA is filed under the name uncultured bacterium. RNAcentral describes it as "partial 16S ribosomal RNA". It matches the Rfam family "Bacterial small subunit ribosomal RNA", at positions 28 to 507 of the family's 1533-position model. The record is from RNAcentral.